This 950-nucleotide ribosomal RNA is filed under the name uncultured organism. Its description in RNAcentral is "bacterial SSU rRNA". It matches the Rfam family "Bacterial small subunit ribosomal RNA", at positions 163 to 1100 of the family's 1533-position model. The record is from RNAcentral.
CUAAUACCGGGUAACACCUUUCUAUCGCAUGGUAGAAAGUUCANAGACCGCUUGCGGUCGCCUGAAGAUGGGCCCGCGGCCUAUUAGCUAGUUGGUGAGAUAACAGCCCACCAAGGCUGCGAUGGGUAGCCGUCCUGAGAGGGUGAACGGCCACACUGGGACUGAGAUACGGCCCAGACUCCUACGGGAGGCAGCAGUAGGGAAUAUUGCGCAAUGCCCGAAAGGGUGACGCAGCGACGCCGCGUGGGUGAUGAAGCUUCUUGGAGCGUAAAGCCCUUUCAGAAGGGAAGAACCGCAUGGAGGUGAACCUCCGUGCCUGACGGUACCUUCAGAAGAAGCUCCGGCUAACUCCGUGCCAGCAGCCGCGGUAAUACGGAGGGAGCAAGCGUUGUUCGGAAUCACUGGGCGUAAAGGGCGCGUAGGCGGGCCGGUGAGUCAGGUGUGAAAACCCGGGGCUUAACCCCGGGCCUGCACUUGAUACUAUCGGUCUUGAGUACGAGAGAGGAAAGCGGAGUUCCAGGUGUAGCGGUGAAAUGCGUAGAUAUCUGGGAGAACACCGGUGGCGAAGGCGGCUUUCUGGCUCGAUACUGACGCUGAUGCGCGAAGGCUAGGGGAGCAAACAGGAUUAGAUACCCUGGUAGUCCUAUCGGUUUACGAUGGGCACUAGGUGUUGGAGGACUUACCCCUUCAGUGCCGCAGCUUACGCAUUAAGUGCCCCGCCUGGGGAGUUCGAUUCGCAAGAUUGAAACUCAAAGGAAUUGACGGGGCCCCGCACAAGCAGUGGAGUAUGUGGUUUAAUUCGAUGCAACGCGAAGAACCUUACCUGGGCGUGACAUCAACUGGAAAGCCAUAGAGAUAUGGCCCCCUCUUCGGAGGUCGGUUGACAGGUGCUGCAUGGCUGUCGUCAGCUCGUGCCGUGAGGUGUUGGGUUAAGUCCCGCAACGAGCGCA